GCGCGGGCCCUGUGCGACAAGACGUCGUGAACCAUGUCAGGCGGGGAACCGAGCAGCAUUAAGCGGCCUAUUGUGCGCCGCAGCAAGCCUGUUCAUC
This 97-nucleotide signal recognition particle RNA is filed under the name Oscillospiraceae bacterium. RNAcentral's name for it is "signal recognition particle sRNA small type". It matches the Rfam family "Bacterial small signal recognition particle RNA". Rfam says of the family: The signal recognition particle (SRP) is a universally conserved ribonucleoprotein involved in the co-translational targeting of proteins to membranes. The record is from RNAcentral. Lineage: Bacteria; Bacillati; Bacillota; Clostridia; Eubacteriales; Oscillospiraceae.